GCAAAAGAUUAGCAUGGCUCUACGCAAGGAUGACAUGCAAAUUCAUGAAGCAUUUCAUAUUUUU
Molecule: small nuclear RNA, 64 nt
Filed under: Microtus ochrogaster (prairie vole)
Lineage: Eukaryota; Metazoa; Chordata; Mammalia; Rodentia; Cricetidae
Source: RNAcentral